Molecule: non-coding RNA, 652 nt
Organism: Alosa sapidissima (American shad)
Lineage: Eukaryota; Metazoa; Chordata; Actinopteri; Clupeiformes; Clupeidae
Source: the annotation of a RefSeq genome assembly
GAGUCCAAAAAUGCCCUAAAAUAAAUCCAGGGUCCUCUAUCCUGUGAGGAAAUGCCAAGACAACAAAAGCAUCUUGCAAAAACAUACAUGUACUGUAGGGUCAUGGGACAUUACUCCAGAGGAGGGGCUGGGUGAAGAAUGUGUUGAAGGAAGUGUUUCUUUGCGAGUUUGUGACAGUGAGGCUGAACUGAGGUAGAGUGUAUUCAGGGUUGAUUCCAAACAUCAUCUAUCACAGGUGACAAUGGCUCUGACCUGUUUUCUGCUUCUGGUUUCUCUUAUAGGCAGCACCUCAGCAGAUGUCAUCAAAUCAACUAAAUCAGAUGAGAAGGCAUUGGAAGGAGAAAAUGUGAUGCUGUCGUGUGACUACACUGUUUCAGCAUAUACUCUACAGUGGUAUCGCCAGUAUCCCAGAUCAGCUCCACAGUUUCUGGUGCUCACUGCUAACAUGGGUGGAGAUAAGAAAUCAGAUGAAGAUCAGCGAAUAUCUGUGAGGGUGAAUGAAGAGAAAACUCAAGUCUCUUUGCAGAUCUCCUCUGCUCAAGUCUCUGACUCUGCACUGUACUACUGUGCCCUGGCAACCACAGUGACACAAAACCACAGACUGCUGUACAAAAACCUUACAAUGGGUUUGAGACAUACAUGUCAGUUGUAA